Molecule: long non-coding RNA, 987 nt
Organism: Drosophila gunungcola (fruit fly)
Lineage: Eukaryota; Metazoa; Arthropoda; Insecta; Diptera; Drosophilidae
Exons: 3
Source: RefSeq, a predicted model, not a curated record
UGUCGGGAUCUUCAGGAAUCGGCGGCUGCUGUUUUGUAAACACUCAGUAUGAGUUCCAGUUCCCGGGUGCUUGGACGUUGCGGAUCGGCUAAAAAACGCAUCGAAUUCGGCGAUAUCUGUUUACCAGCAACUCGAAAUGAGUUAAAAUGUGUGCAAAAUAUGAAAAGCCAUAAAUGGCAUAUGUGCCGUUUUCCAUUGGAAAGUGUUAAGUGUGAAGUGUGUCCUAUGAAUCGAAAGAGGUCCAUGUGUUUAAGAUGUGUUGGCCGAAAAUAAAAAGUGGAAAAGUCAGGGGGGCUUGGGAUGAAACAUUAGCUGACUAUGAUAAGAAACUCAAUUGUUGCAUAGAGCACUCACAGAGCAGAUGAAUUGUCAUGUAGUCCGAUUUCCACCCCAGGAUUUUGUAUAUUUCACAACUCUCGAGGAUUGUUUUCCAUUUUGGGCACAUUAAAAAUUCAGAACGCGUUGAGCACAUUAUCACUUGCCAUUGGACCGAGAUGACUUCAUUUUCAUGCCAUAUGCCUUUGGAUGUCAGUGCUGUACUUGUGGUUCCACCCGCUCAUCCUUAAGUUGCUGCCAUGAUUUACUACAAGCAGAUGAUUUAAUAUAACCGCACAUACUAUAUGGAUGUAGACACACACGCACACAACCGGCCGGAGUGCACUUCAGAUGCAUUCGAUUUCGACUGCACUGGAAACUGGAACCCGUUGAACAGGCCCAGAAUCGGAGGCAGACACAGUACACAUGUUGCCAGUGAAGCGUCGAUUUGGAGGAAAAACGGGACGACCGUUCAAGUUCCUCCAUCUUGAAAACUGACGCCUCUAAGAAGCGGUUCCAAAAGAUGAGAUUUCUAUUUGGAUAUGAUAUCAGUAAGAACUAAGAAACAUUUUGAACUUAGUUUAUUUAGUUAAAAGUGUCUUAAAAUUUGAAACGAUAAUUAAAAUAUUAUUAUUACUGAUUAAAUUACCAUCUAUAUUGUUUGGAUACAUG